Bombus terrestris (buff-tailed bumblebee) is the source of this 1047-nucleotide long non-coding RNA. RefSeq lists it as uncharacterized. The record is from RefSeq and is a predicted model, not a curated record. NCBI's taxonomy places the organism in Eukaryota, Metazoa, Arthropoda, Insecta, Hymenoptera, Apidae. The transcript has 4 exons.
GUGGUAUCAACUUGCGUCGUUCUUUGAUGGAUGUGAUUUCAACUAUAUAGUGUUUUUAUUAGUAUUAUAUCAUCUUUAAUCGAGCAUUAUCAGAUGGACAUUAGAGAUGCAUAGACGAAGACAGUUAAUGGUGACAAUUCGAUGACAUUUCAUGCAAAACGAUUUGCAAACGUUGGAUUUACCUUAACGAAAAUGGAGGUACAUGUUGUUCGCAGUUUCCACUUCCUUAUGCUUCCCAGAAGAAAUCUGAGGAUGUUUAAAAAACCAAAAAUACUUUUCACAACUUCCCAUUUUCCUGUAUGAGGUUUGCUGGUUCCUUCUCGAUGAUUGUUUUGGUGAUGACUUCCUCUGAAUUGCUGCAUCAUCGAUGGCAACGUCUCCGCAUCUUAUCGUGAGUCGCAUGUUUUUGUAUUCCUUUGGUCAUCCAAUCAUAAUCGUAGAACAAAAGGUUUGAAUCGAUACGGACGACUAGUUGUAUUACGUAAAACUUUUUUCGAGCACAGUGACCGCGGAUAUUUAUCAUAUUCCUGAGUAGUGACAUUAUCUUUAUGCCUUAUUUAUUAGUUCAGGACAGGUCUUCUUGCACACCUCGUUUUUUUAUGUUAAUGACGUGACAUUGAGGAUUAAAACUUUAAUAUAAUGUUGAUCAUUAGGAUGAGUGAUUUAUUUUUUAUUUUAUUUUUAUAAGAUACUUCUUCUGCUGCGAUUAGACAGACUCGAGCUUAAAUGUAAGUUUCAGCGGACAGAACAAUUGCCACAGAAGAGGGCAACUACUAAUGGCUUUCCAUCCCCUGGAUCCUCCAGAACAUGGAAAGUCAUUUUCGGUAUUACUUUGUCACUAUGCUUGUUUUUGGUAGUUGUGGUAGUAGUCUUUUUUGGCCGAUGUCGGUCCACCAUCAUAUUGGCUAAAUCGCUGAUUGUUAUCAGUGUCGCGAAGUAGUACUUACAGGUUGAGUCACAGUUUCGAAGUAAUUUAAAUUAAAAUUGAAUUUAGAAAAAUGUCAACUUUUGAUUAACUUUACAUCGUUGCUAUUUCUGACCAUCUAG